RNAcentral lists this ribosomal RNA (376 nucleotides) under uncultured bacterium. Its description in RNAcentral is "bacterial SSU rRNA". It matches the Rfam family "Bacterial small subunit ribosomal RNA", at positions 355 to 748 of the family's 1533-position model. The record is from RNAcentral.
UGGGGAAUUUUGGGCAAUGGGCGAAAGCCUGACCCAGCAACGCCGCGUGAAGGAUGAAGUAUUUCGGUAUGUAAACUUCGUAAGAAUAGGAAGAAUAAAUGACGGUACUAUUUGUAAGGUCCGGCUAACUACGUGCCAGCAGCCGCGGUAAUACGUAGGGACCAAGCGUUGUUCGGAUUUACUGGGCGUAAAGGGCGCGUAGGCGGUGUGUCAAGUCAGUUGUGAAAUCUCCGAGCUUAACUCGGAACGGUCAACUGAUACUGUCACACUAGAGUACAGAAGGGGCAAUCGGAAUUCUUGGUGUAGCGGUGAAAUGCGUAGAUAUCAAGAGGAACACCUGAGGCGAAGGCGGGUUGCUGGGCUGAUACUGACGCUG